UUUAGGAGGAUGCGAUUUCUUCAACAAGUCAUUACAACUUCCCUAUUCAUCAGUAGCUUCCUCAUCUAGAUCUAUCUUCUUUCCGAGAUAAUGCUUUAUACGCCUAGCAUAGACAGGAAUUUGUUGAAGUGCUUUAGUCAACAGUAUAGUAAUCUCCAAUUGAUUGAAGAUUUCUCUAAAGCACUCACAUCUUCUCUCUACUUUCUCACCCCUUUGGGUAAGGAAGAAUUCUCUCAUCUUUUUCAAUUGUUUCCUCUUUUUCAAUUUUUUUUCUCUCCCUUCUUCUCUUCUUUUUUUCAACUCCCCCUCACAUAUUUUCUCUUCUUUUUCUUCUUCCCUCACUAACUCAACACUCUCCUUUUUCUCCUCUACUCUCACCUCAACAUUCACUAUAGUCUU
Molecule: long non-coding RNA, 399 nt
Filed under: Vigna radiata
Lineage: Eukaryota; Viridiplantae; Streptophyta; Magnoliopsida; Fabales; Fabaceae
Description: long non-coding RNA (VRAD_LNC001792)
Source: RNAcentral